RNAcentral lists this ribosomal RNA (497 nucleotides) under uncultured bacterium. RNAcentral's name for it is "partial 16S ribosomal RNA". It matches the Rfam family "Bacterial small subunit ribosomal RNA", at positions 28 to 507 of the family's 1533-position model. The record is from RNAcentral.
GAUGAACGCUGGCGGCGUGCCUAACACAUGCAAGUCGAGCGAACAGACGAGGACCUUGCUCCUCUGACGUUAGCGGCGGACGGGUGAUUAACACGUGGAUAACCUACCUAUACGAAAGGGAUGACUUCGGGAAACCGGAGCUAAUACCGGAUAAUUUAUUGCACCGCAUGGUUCACUCGUUAAAGACGGUUUUUCUUACACUUAUAGAUGGCUCCGCGCCGCAUUAGCUAGUUGGUAAGGUAACGGCUUACCAAGGCAACGAUGCGUAGCCGACCCGAGAGGGUGGUCGGACAGCCUGGAAGUGAGACACGGUACACACUCCGGCAGGAGGCAGCAGUAGGGAAUCUUCCGGGAUGGACGAAAGCCUGACGGAGCAACGCCGGGUGAAUGAUGAAGGUGUACGGAUCGGAAAACUCUGUUAGUAGUGGAGAACAAAAGUGUAAGUACCUGUGCACGUCUUGACGGUACCUAAUCAGAAAGCCCCGGCUAACUACGUG